UACGUAGGGGGCAAGCGUUGUCCGGAUUUAUUGGGCGUAAAGAGCGUGUAGGCGGCCAUGCAGGUCAGCUGUGAAAACUCGAGGCUCAACCUCGAGACGUCGGUUGAAACCGUAUGGCUAGAGUCCGGAAGAGGAGAGUGGAAUUCCCGGUGUAGCGGUGAAAUGCGCAGAUAUCGGGAAGAACACCGGUGGCGAAGGCGGGUCUCUGGGCCGAUACUGACGCUGAGGAGCGAAAGCGUGGGGAGCGAACAGG
This 253-nucleotide ribosomal RNA is filed under the name uncultured bacterium. Its description in RNAcentral is "partial 16S ribosomal RNA". It matches the Rfam family "Bacterial small subunit ribosomal RNA", at positions 524 to 776 of the family's 1533-position model. The record is from RNAcentral.